Molecule: ribosomal RNA, 422 nt
Filed under: uncultured bacterium
Lineage: Bacteria
Description: bacterial SSU rRNA
Rfam family: Bacterial small subunit ribosomal RNA
Source: RNAcentral
UGAGGAAUAUUGGGCAAUGCCCGAAAGGGUGACCCAGCAACGCCGCGUGGAGGAUGAAGGUCGUAAGAUUGUAAACUCCUGUUAGAGGGGAAGAAUAACUAAGUUUGGAGCUUAGUAUGACUGUACCCUCAGAGAAAGCCCCGGCUAACUACGUGCCAGCAGCCGCGGUAAUACGUAGGGGGCAAGCGUUGUCCGGAUUUACUGGGUGUAAAGGGCGCGCAGGCGGAAUGGAAAGUCAGUGGUGAAAUCCUACAGCUUAACUGUAGAACUGCCUCUGAUACUUUCAUUCUUGAGUUCGGGAGAGAGAGACUGAAUUCCAGGUGUAGUGGUGAAAUACGUAGAUAUCUGGAAGAACACCAGUUGCGAAGGCGGUCUCUUGGUCCGAUACUGACGCUGAGGCGCGAAAGCGUGGGGAGCAAACA